GACGAACGCUGGCGGCGUGCUUAACACAUGCAAGUCGAGCGGUAAGGCCCUUUCGGGGGUACACGAGCGGCGAACGGGUGAGUAACACGUGGGUGACCUGCCCUUAGCUCUGGGAUAAGCCUGGGAAACUGGGUCUAAUACCGGAUAUGACUCCAUGACGCAUGUUGUGGGGUGGAAAGCCUUGUGCGGCUAGGGAUGGGGCCCGCGGCCUAUCAGCUUGUUGGUGGGGUGANGGCCUACCAAGGCGACGACGGGUAGCCGGCCUGAGAGGGCGACCGGCCACACUGGGAC
RNAcentral lists this ribosomal RNA (291 nucleotides) under uncultured bacterium. RNAcentral's name for it is "partial 16S ribosomal RNA". It matches the Rfam family "Bacterial small subunit ribosomal RNA", at positions 28 to 319 of the family's 1533-position model. The record is from RNAcentral.